GGUUGCAUCCUCCCUGUCCUCUGACGCCCUCGUCACACUGCUGACUUGCAAGGUGCCGAGCAGCGUGAACAGCAGCGCAGAGACGUGGAAGCUUUUCUUCCAGAAAGUCGCGGGAGUUCUGGAGGUUGCUCUGUCAGCGUACUCCAACAACACCCUCGGUGGCCAUCAGCCUGAGUCCCGUGUUCUCGAUGCCAUUGGAGAGGUGAAAGUCAACAACUUCAGCGCCGCACAACUGGCAGAUGUCAGCUUCAUUACCGACUGGUUCCAGGGAAGGCUGAGACCAUUCUUGCCUGCAGUCUCCAGGGACUUCCUGUCCUGCCUUAGCUCCAAGAACUUCAGUUGCGACACCUACCAAGUUGUGGUGCAGGCUCUAAGUCGUCAAGCGUCCCUCAUGGAGGUGGGGCAACAACGGGUCGUCUUCACUGAAUUUGUCAAUCCCUUCCUCUCGAGAGACGACCUACCAGAUCCUGCCUGUCUUGCCAAUACUACGAGCAGCGCUGACUGGCUGGAGAAGAACUUUGGCAACUUCUCCGUCUACGCUACCUUGGAGGACUUGCAAAGGCUGAAUGAAAAUUUCUCCAGCGUGAGUAGCCCUUGGCUUGCUCCAGUUGCCCAUGUGAAUUGUCAUUAUUUUAGG
This is a long non-coding RNA of Cyprinus carpio carpio, 637 nucleotides long. NCBI's taxonomy places the organism in Eukaryota, Metazoa, Chordata, Actinopteri, Cypriniformes, Cyprinidae. The record is from Ensembl.